GACGAACGCUGGCGGCGUGCCUAAUACAUGCAAGUAGAACGCUGAAGAGAGGAGCUUACUCUUCUUGGGUGAGUUGCGAACGGGUGAGUAACGCGUAGGUAACCUGCCUUGUAGCGGGGGAUAACUAUUGGAAACGAUAGCUAAUACCGCAUAACAAUGGAUGACACAUGUCAUUUAUUUGAAAGGGGCAAUUGCUCCACUACAAGAUGGACCUGCGUUGUAUUAGCUAGUAGGUGAGGUAAUGGCUCACCUAGGCGACGAUACAUAGCCGACCUGAGAGGGUGAUCGGCCACACUGGGACUGAGACACGGCCCAGACUCCUACGGGAGGCAGCAGUAGGGAAUCUUCGGCAAUGGGGGCAACCCUGACCGAGCAACGCCGCGUGAGUGAAGAAGGGUUUCGGAUCGUAAAGCUCUGUUGUAAGUCAAGAACGGGUGUGAGAGUGGAAAGUUCACACUGUGACGGUAGCUUACCAGAAAGGGACGGCUAACUACGUG
This 497-nucleotide ribosomal RNA is filed under the name uncultured bacterium. Its description in RNAcentral is "partial 16S ribosomal RNA". It matches the Rfam family "Bacterial small subunit ribosomal RNA", at positions 28 to 507 of the family's 1533-position model. The record is from RNAcentral.